This is a long non-coding RNA of Bos taurus (domestic cattle), 3094 nucleotides long. The record is from Ensembl. Lineage: Eukaryota; Metazoa; Chordata; Mammalia; Artiodactyla; Bovidae.
CCUGUCAACUCAUUCAUUCAUUCACCAGUGGUUAUUGAUACCAAAUAGGUACCAGAGGAUGUUCUAAAUUUCUGUAAAGGAGUGGGAGGCAAGGAGAGUAUAAAAAGGAAGGCUGGAUCACCUUUGGAGAUUUGUCAGGAUAAAAACACCUGGACCCCACCUCACAACCAGUGAACCAUCACCUUCCUUGUAGCAGCCAUGCCUCCAUCCAAGGAACAAGGGCAGGCAGAAAAGUGAAAGAAAGCUUUCCUAGCAUCUGAUGAAAGGAUGAAAUAUGGAUGGCUGCUAACCCUAAGGAUUUCCCACUAGAGGCAUCAUUUGGUGGCAAGUCUGUUUACUACAUUUGCAAGAAGGGACAGGAAGCAGACAGAGGCAACAGGGCUUCUAAGGAACGGGCGUAUGUUUCCAGACAUCACUCAGCUGAGAGUAUAUUUCCUACCGGAGAUGUUUAUAAAAUGCUUCCCGUCACUGAGGCGCAAAGCACAGGGCUCUGGCAGAGCGUGUGUGGAAUUUUCAAAGGGAAAUUAGGUUCCUGCCAAAUUGGACCAUCAUUUUUUUUUUCCCUGAACAUUUCCCACCUCCUCCCAUUUCCUAGGCUUUGAUCCACCUCUUUCUGCCAUCGGUAGUGCCACCACCUCAUUUCUACUUGUCAGAAGUCCAUAAAUUCACUGAGCCACGGUUUUUAAAAAACCCUGUCAAAAAUACUGGUCUAAGCCUGCUCUGACCCCCACCUUAAUACACUGUCUUCUUCCUUCAAUUUCACCACUGCAUUUGCCAGGAAGGAGCUCGGGUGGCCGCGUGGCUGAAGGACAGGGGGACCUCAUGGUGCGGGCAGGCAGUGAGGAGAUUACAAACAGGCCUGGUAGUUUCAUUCCAACACCAGUGGAGGCUUCCCUUGGCUCCCCUCGCCAUUCAGCUGUGACUCAGAGGAAUCUCCUUGGCUGUGAGAGGGCUUGUGACCUGCACAUCUGCUCGUCAUUUACCUACUGUGGAUCUGCUGGGCUGGUGAAGAACUGGUUCCUGCUUCUUCUGCCUUAUUCUGUGAUAUGUGGAGAGAAAUUGCUCCUGUUAAUUUGACUCCAUCCCUGGCUUUGCUCCUGUCAAAUCGGAUGCAUGGAAAUCCUCCAGAAUGUACCAUUCCCAUGGCUCUCACCAUCUUGUUUGCUCCUCCUUCCUGCGGUCAAUACAUCCCAGGUGCCACCUAUGUACCUGCUAAUUUUUACUCCCAGCUGCAAUGAGUCACUUGAAGUUUUAGUCUAUAAAACAAAUGAAAAAAGAGAAAGUUACUGAUGCAUGGGAUAGAGGAUGUGAUAUUGAUUGCUUUUAGAACAAAGAAAACCUGCUUACAGGUAUCCCAGUAAGAGUGUGAUUGGCAGCUUCUGCAAAUACCCUGCGUCUCCAAAGUCAGAAACACAAUGAAAGAGAGAGAAAAAACCUUAUGUAACCAUAACAGUGCCCAUUAUUAGUCUCUUAAAAUAACCCAGCACUUUACUAAGAUUUUGUGUAUAAUGAUAUCUUAUUAUUAUUUUAAAGGUCUUUUUUGAGGUGGACCAUUUUUAAAGUCCUUAUUGAAUUUGUUGUAAUAUUGUUUUUGUUUUUUAUGUUCUGGUUUUUUGGCCAUGAGGCAUGUGGGAUCCUAGCUCCCCGACCAGGGAUUGAACCCACUCUCCCUGCACUGGAAUGUGAAGUCUUAACCAGUGGACCACCAGUAGUCCUGAUAUAUUAAAGCAACUCUCUGGGAUAGGAGUAACUGUCCUCAAUUUACAGAUUAGGGAAUAUAAGACUUAGGGAAAUUAAAGAUACUAAUAAGUAGCAGAGCUGAAAUUCAUACUCAGGAAAGUCUGACUCCAGUACUACUUAUCCUUCCAACCAGCAUUUUCUUGCUUCUUAUUGGACUUUCCUCUUCUAGAUCAGGUCCAUGCUUGUGCUUUACUCAGUGAGAUUUCUCGGAAUCUGGAAAAUGGUGUUUGAUAUAUUUCAGGCUCUGUGAUAAUUCUGUAUGUUAAUGAUUAAAAUAUAUGAAUCAACUGAACUGCAAGCUGCUUACUAGCUGCCAUCUUUCUCUCUCUACAGCUGACAUUAGAAAAAUAAAGCUAUAAAAACAGGUUUAAAUUUUUAAAUUAAAAUCCACAUUUCUGUACUAUAGAAUACCUCACUGCUAUGCUUUAUUUCAAUAGAUGAAGGUAUUUUGAGUAUUUUCAAUUGAUACGGCAACUUUUACUUGAAAAUUCUACUAUCUCUAGGUCAUUCAUAGAUCAUAAAACCAUUUUGAUAAGCAGGAGAAUUAAUAAACGAUGCUCAUGCAAUUUGAAAUUUAAAAUUUUGAGUUCUCUGAUAUGUUAAAGUCUUUCUCUGUUUGUUAAGAGGGAAUAAAAUCAAACUGUGAUUUUUUCCAAGACAAGAAUGAGGCUUAAAUGUCUUGAGUCCUUUUAAGUGUCUCCUCUUCCAUGUUAUCUCCUAAGUCCAUUACAGUAAUUUUUUUUUUUAAGUCUAUGUGCUUAAAUAUAUCACUUGGACCUCUGGAAGUACAGUAUUGACUUCAGCCAGUAUAACUUUGUAUGUUACUCCUGUGGUUAUCAUCCAUGUAUAGGACUUAUCUUCUUGUACUGGGAUCUUUGCAAUUAUCAAAACAUACUGAUAUCUGUAUAUCAUUUGACUUUUGUAUAUCAAAGCAUAUACAAGUGCAGUAUUGUACUGCUCAUUGUAUUUAUCUAGGGAGUUUUUUUUUCACUUUCUGAAGGGAAAACACAGGUCUAGUCUCACAUCCCAUGGAAAGUGUUUGUUCUUUGAAGUCAACUGGAAUCACAUCUGCUCCAUUGAUUAAUCCUAACAAGUUACCCAACCUAACUAAUCUUUAGUUUCUUAUUCUCUGAGGGGAGUCUCAAAGGUUGCAAUGAAAUUAAAUGACUUGAAGUAUGCAAGUAAAUGUUCUCAUUUCCCUGUCCACAACUGGACCCCUGUCGAACUUUAUGAUUUCGUUUUCCAAACUACUGUCCAUGCAGUACCUACCACUUUUCAAACAAGUUUUGUUUUUCCCUGGUUCUGUGCAUUUUAUUCUGUGUUCUCUCUGACUGGCAUGUACUUUCAGAAGACA